UAUAAGUUUAAUAAAACAUAUUUUCUUCCAUAAACGUCGCAAACAAAAUAAAAGAUCCAUUAAAUCUAAUUUUAAAUGGUCUGAAAUCAGCGAGCAUAAAAACAGUUGGCACACAAAAUCUACAUGACAAAUUUCCGUUUUUUUCCACCCAAGUGCAGACACAAGCUUAAAAAUACCAACUGUUAGUGUGGCAAAGAAAUAAUAAUAAUAACAAACAGCGCCGACACAAAGAAACGUUCACUUUCGUUGGUGCAAAAAUCUCAGGCCAAAGUCAUUGUGAGAUUUGAUGAGUUGGAAGGCGAAGAUGAUGAGUACGCAGAUGGAAACGGGUCCAAAGACGCCUUGUCACUGACUCUUUGGUCAGGGCCUCUUCGCUAAUGCUGUUUAUUUUCUCUGCAUCUCAUUUCGGAUGUAACGAAACCGAAACGCAAAUAGAAAAUAUGACAAAUAAUUGCUUCAAAUACCCGCUUGACACACUUUUUAGUAGGCGCGAAGAAAGAGUUUGUCAAGCAAUCACAAGUGUUCCAAAACAAAGAUGAGGUCAAAAAAAUCUCUUUCGGUGAUUGUUUGAUAUUUUCGGAGAUUUCGCAGGCGGAUUUGGCGAAAUUUGUGGUUUCGGUGAUGAAGAUGGGAGAUCUGUGGCUGCAGCAUUUUUGGUCAAAAGCAAGACACAAGUGAAGCUACCGGCGCCAUCUCAUUUGUCAGCCAGUUUCGGUUUGAACUAGCUGGCAGUCAUUUGUAAGCCAUUGUUUUUCUGCUCGUCGUGGGUUUUGGUACUUUGGUUGAAGUUGCUUUUCCCGAACGGUUGCUUCGUGGCUCAUCUUAUCCCAUCUCACCGACCGACUGACUGACUAUUUUUGUUUUGUUCAGCUGGUUAUGCUGAUGCGUUUGCCGCUGGUUUGUUGUCUGCGCGGCAAAAGGUGCAAAACUUUCACUUUAUGUAUUAUUGUUUUGCGUGCGAGCUGCUGCGUUUGUCUGCCAGGAGAAAUUACAAUAAUAAUGCCUAUAAAUUAUGAACCAAAGCGCUUGAUCCACUCUGCGUGGGCGAAAGAAAUUGCCGCAAUUAAAUGAGUCAAGGGACCCAAAGUGAAUGCUCUGUUUUGCGAUUCUUCUGCAGAGAUAAAUGGCGUAAGUGUAAAGCGACACGUCUUUCACAUUCUGCACAAGAGAAAUUUCAGAUAUUUUUAUUGCAAAAUUCAUGAGCCAGAUCUAAAGACUUGAAGCAAAAACUGCUGUUUUUCAAGGUACAUAAGGUAGAUAAAAAGACUUAAGUCACGCACUGGAUAUUAUUUUUAAUUUUUGCAAAAAUUUAAGUUAAAAACCGUAGUUUGCAAAAAUUUGUACAACGGAGUCAAAAGACUUAGGAAACAAACUUGUUUCGAUCAACUACUAUAUUUUCAAAACCUGGCACUGAUAAAUUGCAUGGCAAAAACAAAAGACUGCGGACACAAACGCAACGUCAGCUAAUGAAACCUUUAUUGAAUGCAAAUAAAACUCCAGUUUUAUUAUUGCCUAAUGACCAGAGAAACUCGUGGGAAAGAUAUUUAGCUACUUUCGUCGAACGCCAAAGCAACUGGCGAAAUCGGUAGAUUGAUUCCAUAGAUUUGACGGGUAAUUCGUAAGUCAUGCUGUGCGUCUUCAGUGCCAUCAGCCUGCAGACAGAUUUAUUAUGGGCAAAUUCCAAAGACUGGUCGCGAUUUGGAUGCUCUUUUGGAGCUUCAAGAUUGUGACUCAGUUGCCUCAACUAGUUUGCAGCCCCCCACACAGUCUGUUGAACCGCCGCUCAAGGUCUUUUCCCAGCCACCAACGGCGGAGCUGCCAUUCAAAGCCACAAAAUUCUAAUUAAUUUCGCGCUCGCGAAACUUUUUGCAUUGAUCUCUUCUAACUGCCGCAAAAAUCCCAAAAGAGCUACAGUGUGUGGGCAACGCAUACAAAUCGAUAUUCAGAUGAACAGAUGAAGACGAAACCGAGACCAAAGCGGAGCAGUCUGUACCUCAGUGCCAACCUGUGCCCGUCGUCUAACAUCAUUAGUUUCGGCCAGUGGAGGCUUUUUUGAGAAGGCCUCGUGGGCGAACGACCCACGCUCCAUGACACAAUCGAUCCGCCAAGGCCCGACCAUGUGGUCCACGGAUCUCGAAAGCCAUGCACUUGUUAUGCGUUUUCGAUUUCCAUUCGCUGAUGGGCAGUCCACUUUCACCAGAACUCGGUUUCAUUUUCAUUGCCAUAUACGAACGUACUUCUUCAAGAUGACCCAAAAAAUAAUGAAGCAUCUUUGCCCAAAAAAAAAAAAACUGAAAACACAGGCCGAAAGGAAAUAAGAAAUACUUCGAGGAAUAAAGCGAAAGUAAAACAGCGACCAGUUUUUGUGUUUUUUGUGGCUGCAGGGCUGCUGCAGCUGAAAGAGCGGUUCGAACUCCGAUUCGCAGUAACUCAAAAUGAUGUCAUGCUGCGGGUUGCCAAAAAAACUCGGCCAGACUUUAGUGUUUUUUUCUUUUUUGUUUUUGGUGGACCCGAAUUUGCUGUAUCUGUAUCAAUAAAAUGGCUUCGUCCCGUGCAGAAUAAAGAAACCGUGCUGCAAAUGCAAAAGUAACCGGACGACUUGGGCCCAGCCCAGUUAAGUUCACAUUCAGUUCAACUUUCAGCUUCCACGCCAACACUCCGUGGCACAGUUGCUUUUUUUUUUUGUUUUUGUCGUCGUGGUUUAUGCCGCUCAAGACCCUGAUCGCUGCAUAUAACUAGCCGUAAUGCCGUUUAUUUAUUUCAUUUUAAAAGUCCCUGUCAGCGGCACAGCUCCAGGUUCGGUUGCAGUUGCACUCGCCUUAGCCUCGAGUUAAGCCUUUAAAUUUAUGACUCAUAUUAGUUGCAGACUCCGACGCCGGAAAAAAAAACCAACACGGAAACUUUUUAAACUGCAAUUUGCAACAAUUUCUGCCGCAACUGUAAAGCAGACUUAGCCAAAAAAAAAAAAAAAAUUGCAAAACUGGCAUCAAGAAGGCGAGGUUGCUGGGGCGCAACGAAGUUUUAUUACACUCUCCAAAAACAGCAGGAAAAUGGGUUGAGUUGUGAGCUUCACGGCUUACAAAAUCUAGUUCAGGUUUCGUUCGCCUAACCGCCGAGUAGGAAAAGCCAAGUUAAAUGAAUUAAGUGACUAGGAAACACAUAAAACAGCCAUAACAAUUGCUGAGCUAAGGUUAGGGAGGGCACUGCCUUUGGCAAGUAGUAAAUAUUUUAGGAUGCAGCUUUAUUAAGCCAUUAAGGAUUUCUUAACAUAAUUUAGAAAGUUCCAAUAUAUGCCGGAUGGAGUUCUGGAGUAGCAUGCCCAUUCUUUCAUUCUUGGCGAGGCCCCACAGGCAAAUAGAGUAUCCUAAAGGCCUGUAUGCAAAACCAAGCCAUCAACUCGAUCUCAAGUUGUGCGGCCAAUUAACGGAAUGUCUGCUCCGAUAUCGCUACCGUAAUUUAACUUUCAAAUGCAGCCCGCAAGAGCAGUUAAAUCGGAAAACCCGUUGGAGCCUGGCAGCUCCACUGGUACAUAUAGUGUAUCCCCAUAUCAGGGCACUUGGAGUCAGCAGGAGUGGGAGCUACAUGGUCUUUUGUCUUUUGCUGCCUUUCUGCGCCCUGUCAGUGAGCUAUCUAGCCGGCUAAUAACUUCAUUUAAAUUAAUCUGGCCAACAGGAGCAGCACGUAGAGCAGCACACAACCACCACAAUUUAAAAUUCAAUUACCGCUGCAUUUGAAGUUGCCACCGCAGGCGCGCACAAAGCCAUAAACAUUUCCAUGUCGCCACCAUGUGAGGAGCGGUGGCUCUGUGCCGCACAUUGAUGCAUUGAUGCAUCCUGUCAUUGUCAUAGUGCCAGCUCAUAUCCUGCGGAUCGCCACUGGCCGUAAAUUGCAAAAACCGCACAUGCUAAUCAACAUGGGCAACCGCAAUUAUUAAAUUACAUUUGCGCGGCCUAAUCGAAUUGGCGAGGGGUCUUGGUAGUCGGUAUAUGUAUGUGACCAGUGCUCCCAGGUAAAUGAUAUGAUAUGGCCAACAGUAGCGACUGCUAAUUUGGCUUGACAGUCUGUUCUCGCCAGCUAAAAGGGGCGUAACUAUCGGUAUUUGAUUCGUCUCCGGAACGAGGAGGCUGGAUGAUUGUCGGUGCGCAAAGGAAGCUUUAACCAAGUGUGGACACUUUGAUGGCACCCAGGUGGCGAUCAGAUUGAGGAGGAAACACUCUGAUCUAAUCACCCAUGUAAUGUUAUUCACUAGCUUGUUGAGACCUUAAGUAUUCUCCACAAGAUGAGUAUCUUUCAUUGGUUCUCAGAAUAUUGAUGGGUAGAAGUGGUUAAUACUGUCUGAAUUUGCAUAUAGUACUCAGUUAACAUUUUUUGGGUUUUAGUGCGAUUUAAUGCAAUUUGCAUCCCGGAUAUAUUAACACUCCCAGCUUCUCUACACAAUUUCACCAUCAAUUUGCCAUCCACAGUGUUGUCGGUUAUGGCCAAAAGUAUAAGCCAUGACUCAACUCAACAACGCCUCGAAGGUCGACAGCUGGCGACACUUUGGAUGUGGUGCGAGUCUCUCAACGCCGACGGGGAACAUAUUUGGCUUUGAUGGUGCGUGGGCUUUACAACUCAGUUGGCUUGAUUAAAAUGUAGUGUGGCCUGGCCGACGCCAAUUGGCUUAUUACCCAUGAUCCGAGCUAAGACAGGCAAAACAGACCCGGUUUGCAUGCGGUUCUAACAAAUGCCAGUUGCCAGUUGGCAACAAACAUCGCGCAGAGGCGUUUUGAAAUGACCGUGGGCGGGGACAUGGGAGGCCUUCAACUGCGUCGACUUCUGAGUCCCACACACAAAGAGCUUUUGUAAUUAAAAGCUGAGCUGUUUUCACACUCAAAUGGUGCGUUGAUUGAUAUUCCCGGCUAAUUGCCACAGGCUUGGCUCCAAGUUGUUCCGACUCGGACCAUCCCAAGGCACUUCCUUAAUGGUCACUUACACCAAAUGUCAAGUUCAAGUGGCGGCCCUUGGUUAAAUAAAAAAAGAGAAGAUGGGAGCCGUGUACAAUGAGGCAUUUGAUUGAUGUGAGCCCCUCUUGCCGGUCAUAAUCGUCAUGAGGAUGAGCAUGAUGUUGGUGAUGGUGGUGCGUCAGCAAGAAAAUCGAGGUAGUUCUUUGACUUCUUCGAGUUGCCGGUGCCCAGAACCAAGUUCCAGGCAAUAGAAGUGGAUUAGGACCGUGGAAAGUACGUGACAAAAGCCCUCGUCGUCUGUAAUCUUGCUCACUCAGAACAGAACGAACAGCAGUCGAGUCAAGUUCGUGGUCGCAGUCUUUCGUUUGGCCGACUGCAGCUAAUUGUUUUUUUCCAGCGAUUUUUUCUCUUAUUUUCCUCUCCACCACUCCGACAUACAUGAAUGAAAACUAAAGUAAAUUGGCCCCCAGUCGUUGGAGUCAUCGUCGUUGUUGUCGGUUCGGGACAUGAACAUCAAGGUGGUCGUGGCCGCUGUCGACUUCAGACAAAAUGCAACUACAGAAAAAAUGAAAAUAAAAGGAAGAAAUAUAUAUAUAUAUAUAUAGUAUAAAUGCGGCUAUAUGUGUACAGACAAUAAAUUGUUAAAUAGCCGCAGACGCAGAAUGGGCCGGGGCACGGCUUAAAAAUUUAUGCCAUUUUAAAGCGAGAAAUGAAACACGCCCCAAGUGCAUUACAAUAAAUUAUAGAAAUAUGAGUAUCGCAAAAAGUCUGAAAACAGCAACGGAAACCGAGCAGCGGUCGCUCUUUUGGGCCAUGAUCGCCGCCAUCUCUAUUAUAAAGCAAUUAAUGCCGGCAAUGCUGAUUUUAAUAAUUCAUAAAAGGGAAGGGAAAUGAGAGCAUAAUUAGGACACCCGGGUGGCCCCACGGAUUCUUUGGUCUUCUCGGACUCCCCCUGCAGCAUGGGCACGACUUUGGACAGGGCUCAUUAAAAAUGGCCUGCUAAAAAUAGCAGCAAACAUUUCUGCGCGCCAGAGUGGAGUUGUCCUGCGCCAUCCUCACAUAUUUUCAUAUUAAUUAUCGUGGCCACUUGUACAGCUGUCCGAGUGCAACCUGCUGCUCCACUCGAAACCCCAAUCCCAGCUCCAUCUCCAGCUCUAAGUAUUCUCCAGGGGCAGAUGCAAAGCACGAUGCGAUGCCCCUGUGCAGAUUUCGCCGAUUGCCCGCCAUUGACUUUUAGCGAUAAUUAACACCUAGGUACUAAACCAAAUUGCAACCGCAGCAUCGGCGUCUGCCAGAUGCGACAAAAGACAAAAACUGGCCAACUCAAAAGGUACUGGUAGUGUAGUAUUGGACGUUCCUCGUGGACGUUUUUAAUGGCUCGCUUUUUACAUUUAUUUUAUUGCAGGCAGGCAAACUGGACCUUUGCUUAUUGAUUUGCAUUUUUACAAGACUUCUUGUUUGCGGCACUGUUGUCGCUUUUUAUGUCUAGAUUUAGUUAUUUUCGUAUAUUUAAAUCGCUUGUACUCGGGAUGCUUCAAGGUUCCCUCCUUGUAACCAGCCACUGGAUCAGAAGUACAGGCGGCGAUAAUUUAAACAGGAAUGCUGCGACCAGGAUUAGUUGGAAAUAUCGCUUUGAAGUCGAGUCAUAAAUUAAAGCCAACUAAAUAAAUCAAGAUGAAGUGAGGAUAUACAAAGUAGCUUUGUGGGGUGGAAAUAUAUUAUGGGAUAAGAAACCGGAGUUCUGCAAAUUCAUUCCUAAUGACUGGAAAGAAACCACAAUUUCUCGAAGAAAAAAGUUUCAAAUGGAAACGGAAGAAUAAGAAUCUACAGAGUUGAUGAUAGCGUGAUGACACUAUUUCCUAACUUUUUUCCACCGACAGAUCUUGCUCUCGUCCCACUUUAUUAUUAUAAGAUUUUCGACCAUUUUUAGCUGAAUAAAAUCCAUCGAAUCUUCCACAAGAGUCGGAUAAACUAGCAGUUACGAGACGCUCUUUAACAAAAAAACCUAGUCACAUGCCAAAUUUGGCUAAAUUGGCAACACUGAAUGGCAGCUACCGACCUGUCCGGCCAUUUACAAUUACCAACGACCAUCGACUAUCCACUAUCCACCAUCCACCAUCCGCGGCUCAUCCGUCGCGGCAUUCCGAUUGCGAUUCCAGUCACAUAGUCGCACAUCUCCGCCUGACUCGCGCUGGGCCAUUGUGGCUCGACUUUGGCCCUUUUGGCCAAGAGCGUUGGGGCCAAAUUGUGCUGCGUUAAAUUCAAUCAAUGCAUCAAAUCCACAUGCACAUGCACUCCAUCGCCCACGCGUCCUCCUAAGGAAACCAAAAUCAAAAAAAACAAAAAGAAAAGAGGCCUCGAGUGGAAAUCGCCAAUGGACAUGGCUUUUCGAGUUGGCCCGCGUUGCAGGAACUGUCGGACGAAUCAUAAAAUUAUGCAGAGCACAUACCGCACACGCACACACAUGGGGCUAUUAUACAAUAGGCAAACACAACCACAACGCAUUCGGGCCAAAACCAAAGCGGCAAUUGCAUAAAACUCUUUUUACGAUGCGUGGUUGUCGUCUUUGUCAGUGGUAAGCCCAAAGAAACCAUCCACAUUCGUUGGCGAUGGCUACACAGAAAGAAACUUCAUAUACGAUUUUAAAUGGGAUUAUGCAGAUUUCUUGGGUUUAUCCCAUUAAAUGAAUAUUUUUUCGCGGUGCAUGAAAAUGGCGACGCCGGGUCCGGGCACGUACGCAAUGCCAGAGGCAACUAAUGCCCAAGUAUAUAUAGUUGUUGUGGCUGUUGUGGUGUUCCUCCUGUUGUUUAUUGAAGUGCGCGACUGCGCGUUAUGUUUUCCCCCCAUUUGUUGUUGCUGUGGGGCGCAUUCGCAAUUUACAACACAAAUAAACAUGGCCAAGAAGUGGCAGUGGCAGAAGCAGUCGAAGUGGCAAGUCGGCAACACCGGCCGAGGUUUACUUCCGCCGGAUAGCUACGUAAAAAUCAUAUAAAUUAGAAUGGUGGUAAAACCGAACUUGGAGUGCUGACUCCGAAAACCAAAAUGACGAACCACUCACCUUCCCCGAUUAUUCAGAUUCUUGAAUUUACAUUAUUUCUGGGUAUUUCCGUUAGGCACUGCCCUUAUAUGAUUGAUUGCUUGCCGGCGUAUUCCAUACACGGUUCUUCAUAGUCAUCAUUAUGUAACCUCAAGAACCGACGGGCCGAGGGUGUCCAAGGCACUUAGCCAAAUCAUCGAAGCGUCCGAAAGGUCACCACCAGCGGUAAUUAGAGUUGACUGACUGGCUCUCCUGCAUUGAAUUAAAUCGACUGCAAUUUACCUUUCUAAUGGCCAGCUCCAUUUAUGGCCACAUGGUGUUUUUCGACUGCAGCAGUCUGUACUGCACUCCACAGAUCGUGUGUGUCCAUUUAUGGCCAGGCCAGCCCAACUCCUGCUCCAUCUCGGCCAGACUCUUUCACCCGGCGUAGGCGAAAAGUGUGCACUUUGGAAAGCCAUCAAAGGCGCCACGGGCUCUGUCGAUUGGAGGUCAGGUCUGCAUGCCACGAAAACACACACAAAAACCAACAAAAAUCCACAAAAAACGGGCACAUGUGGGCCGUGGUCGCCACAUUGUACACUCCAAGAAAGUGUGUCAGCUUGGAAUCAGUGCAGCAGGCACUGUAAUUGGAAAUGGGAAAAAUAUAUUACAGAUUAUCUGCAUUUUUAUGGCUGCCAUUUAUUCAAUUUGUUUAAUAGGCUCGCCAUAGCAAAAGCUGCAAUGCUUUGCUCACGUUGUGUAAUUUUAUAUUACGAACAAAUUUCUUGGUAAUCAAAUUGGUAGUGUAAGCGAAUUCGAACGGAAUUACUAAACCGACUUUAUUGAUUUAUUUUAUUACCACCUUGCGAAAACACUUACAAGUAAGUGGAAUGGAUGGGUAAUCAUUUGCGAAAGCCAAAAUAUUGACUCUGCCUGGGUGUAAUAGAAUAACCAGUUUCCAGAUCUCCUCUCCCAUAAUAAAGGGCAUGUCCUUGGCAUAUAUAUGCACUUUGUAGCCGAUAUUCGCCACAGUGUGGGCCACAAUUUACGGCGGUCUGGACAUUUACGAGGCUCGGCUUAGACACAUUGUGCGGCAAAAUGUGGCCGCAAUCCAGAAUCCCCAUCGGAGGCCAGCCUUUUCAAUUAAAAACUGGAAAUAAAUUGCGACCGCAGCGGCGUAAAUAAAUAUUGACAUUUAUGUUUAGCGAGCUUCCCCGAAGAUUGCUUUGCCAAUAAUGUGGCACAGAGAUUCGUAGACUAUAAAAAGCCUAAUUAACACCUCUGUCCCUCCACCGAUCUUCGGAUAUGCCAAUCCUCCUCCACCUCCAGCUCCUCACAUUUGAGAUGCAUUAAAGAGUUGCCACCACAUCUUUGGGUUAGCGGCUAAUUUCUGGGUUAAAUGUGGGGGGAAAAAACGAAAAGAACACCGUCAUGGCCGGCAAUGAAAGCGAAAUUUUUCGAGUCCGCCGAAAGAGUAGUUCUCCAGUCUGGCGAAAUAAAAGAACAAAAUGGGAGGAAAAUAAGAAAACAUGCGUCGCCCGGAGUCGACAUUCUUUUUAACAAGUUGCCCGCAGAGACCAGAAAAGGGCCUAGAGCUGCAGUUGGAGCCAGUCAAAGUCAAGUUAAAUACGCCCGCCGUGCGUCGGGAAUGGGGGACUGGUCAUUUUGGCAUGUCCGCUGGGCUCUCUGGGUUCUCUGGGCAACGCGAGUCCAGGCCAGGGCCAAGAAAUAUCAGAAGAUCAAAGGCAUUUUAACAGCCAGCGUCCAGCGCAAACAAUCAACACGGCCCAAAGAGCCAGAAGACAACCAGAAGACCUAAAAGGCCAACAUGGGGAUGAGGACGAGGAGCAGGAGCAGGAGGAUGAGGGUCAGCGGAGCGGUAACGUGCCGGCUUAAGGCCCAAAACCUGUGCACUUAGUUGGAGGACACGUACAGGAUAAAUUAGCAAAUAUUUGUUUCUUCUCUUCUUUUUUUUAUUUUAUUUUUUUGUAGCUCUGCAGAUGUUUGCCUUGCUGGGGAUUUUAUUUCUUAUUUAAGCAAAAAUUGCAUUUAAAUUGUUUCGUGCUCGGCCAAAGGUCGGCAAUGUAACCUUGACAUUUCCAGCCGAUCAUCGCUGGACAUUUCUCCCCUUGGCAGCAAAUAGAGUCCGCCAAUGAGGCCAUCGAUAAUGUCUCAAUUAUGUCAAUGCGACACCAGUGACCAGCUGGACCAACUUGGCCUCCUCUUAGGUGCCAUCUCUUAACAAAUCGAAACGUAUCGACUUGAUCUCAUUGGGUGCAUGUGCAUAAACAAAACAGUACACCAGCACACCAUAAACAAGAGGACUAGACCAAACUGAAAAAGAAAAAAUAAAUACAAAAAAAAGGGGGAUAAGCCUUAUAAAAACAAUACAUCAGGCAUACGGUGCGUAGUGGCUGUAGCUACUACAAAUAAGUCGGCGUCUCCAGUUCAGUUCCCCCAUUGUGUUGCCACUGGGCAAUAAAGAGAUUUAGUAGCUCGGACCAUCCAGCCAUCCAGCCAUCUAGCCUCCUGCUGCUCCAGCUCCUCCAGAAUUCCUCAUCCUUUCCCUGGCCAGCCGGGCAUGUCCUUCUGAGCGGUCAAUGCUUCCCGCUGGAACACUGCCAUCGCCACCGCCUGAUUUGCAUGCUUAACCUUUAAGCUCGUGCGGCAUAUUAAUCUUAUCAGAAACUUGUCAACAGUCAGCUAAAGUCAAUCCGAUCGAGCCGCUUCCCUGCUGACAAGAUAUAUACAUUGUUCUCGGACAUCGCUUGUAAUGUCUCACUCGCCUGGUCGCAUAUAUAUCAAUAUACCAUUGAAGUGAAGAUCUGCGAAAUAAGGGGAUAAGAUGGAGAUUUUGUUUAAAGGGCUAAGCUCUUCUUUUUUUUUAAUAUUUUCACAUGCCCAUGCGAAAACCUACUUUCUUAGAAUUGGAAUUUUGCACAAAUAGUUUCCAACAGCUCUUGG
Molecule: long non-coding RNA, 10923 nt
Organism: Drosophila simulans
Lineage: Eukaryota; Metazoa; Arthropoda; Insecta; Diptera; Drosophilidae
Exons: 3
Source: RefSeq, a predicted model, not a curated record